Molecule: ribosomal RNA, 830 nt
Filed under: Knufia calcarecola
Lineage: Eukaryota; Fungi; Ascomycota; Eurotiomycetes; Chaetothyriales; Trichomeriaceae
Description: partial 28S ribosomal RNA
Rfam family: Eukaryotic large subunit ribosomal RNA
Source: RNAcentral
ACGGCGAGUGAAGCGGCAACAGCUCAAAUUUGAAAUCUGGCCGUUUACGGUCCGAGUUGUAAUUUGUAGAGGAUGUUUUGGGUACCGCCACGGUUUAAAUUUCUUGGAACAGAAUGUCAGAGAGGGUGAGAGUCCCGUCUUGGACCGCGGUAGGGCCUGUGUAAAACUCCUUCGACGAGUCGACUUGUUUGGGAAUGCAGGUCAAAAUGGGUGGUAAAUUUCAUCUAAAGCUAAAUAUUGGCCAGAGACCGAUAGCGCACAAGUAGAGUGAUCGAAAGAUGAAAAGCACUUUGAAAAGAGAGUUAAACAGUAUGUGAAAUUGUUGAAAGGGAAGCGCUGGCAACCCAGACUCGUGCGCGGGGUUCCCCCUUGCUUCUGCUUGGGUCACUUCCCCGUGUCCGGGCCAUCAUCAGUUUCGGGGACCGGUUAAAGGCCUUGGGAAUGUAUCCACGCCUUUCGGGGGUGGACUUAUAGCCCAGGGUGUCAUGCGGCCACCCGGGACUGAGGAACGCGCUUCGGCGAGGAUGAUGGCGUAAUGGUUGUCAGCGGCCCGUCUUGAAACACGGACCAAGGAGUCUAACAUCUAUGCGAGUGUUCGGGUGUCAAACCCUUGCGCGGAAUGAAAGUGAACGGAGGUAGGAAGGCUUAAGCCUGCACUAUCGACCGAUCCUGAUGUCUUCGGAUGGAUUUGAGUAAGAGCAUAGCUGUUGGGACCCGAAAGAUGGUGAACUAUGCGUGAAUAGGGUGAAGCCAGAGGAAACUCUGGUGGAGGCUCGCAGCGGUUCUGACGUGCAAAUCGAUCGUCAAAUUUGCGUAUAGGGGCGAAAGAC